Molecule: transfer RNA, 77 nt
Filed under: Clostridium phage D-1873
Description: tRNA-Trp
Rfam family: tRNA
About the family: Transfer RNA (tRNA) molecules are approximately 80 nucleotides in length.
Source: RNAcentral
UGUAGGUAUGGUGUAAUGGCUAACAUAAUAGUCUCCAAAACUAUUGAUGUAGGUUCGAUUCCUACUACCUAUGCCAA